GACGAACGCUGGCGGCGUGCUUCAUACAUGCAAGUCGAACGAGAACCGAUAGCUUGCUAUCGGGGAAAGUGGCGGACGGGUGAGUAAUAUGUAGAGAAUCUGCCCUUGAGUGGGGGACAACAGAGGGAAACUUCUGCUAAUACCCCAUAUGAGCUAACCUGAAAUGGUUAUCUUGAAAACUCCGGUGCUCAAGGAUGAGUCUGCAUCUGAUUAGCUAGUUGGCGGUGUAAUGGACCACCAAGGCGACGAUCAGUAGCUGGUUUGAGAGGAUGAUCAGCCACAAUGGGACUGAGACACGGCCCAU
RNAcentral lists this ribosomal RNA (304 nucleotides) under uncultured bacterium. RNAcentral describes it as "bacterial SSU rRNA". It matches the Rfam family "Bacterial small subunit ribosomal RNA", at positions 28 to 334 of the family's 1533-position model. The record is from RNAcentral.